GUUUCGAUGGGUCUUUGCUUAUUUUUGUCAUAAAUUGUAACUCAUAACUAUACAAAAACAGGUCCGCAAUAAGUGGUGCACAGUUAGUCCCCAUUGUAAUUCCGAUAAUCUGACGAUAUACGGAAUCCCCAAAGCGAACAAAAAUGUUAUCUAGUAAAAAUUCAAGGGCAUAUAUAGUAUAAAAGCAUGUCCAAUUAACACAG
This 203-nucleotide long non-coding RNA is filed under the name Mytilus galloprovincialis (Mediterranean mussel). The record is from RNAcentral. Lineage: Eukaryota; Metazoa; Mollusca; Bivalvia; Mytilida; Mytilidae.